This is a long non-coding RNA of Folsomia candida, 775 nucleotides long. RefSeq lists it as uncharacterized. The transcript is spliced from 2 exons. The record is from RefSeq and is a predicted model, not a curated record. NCBI's taxonomy places the organism in Eukaryota, Metazoa, Arthropoda, Collembola, Entomobryomorpha, Isotomidae.
GUGAAAUCGACGCAUUCACCAUUCUGGCUGCCUUAGCUUUCUUAACAUUUUUAAUGUCCGUGCUGGCGCAGUUGCUUGCCAGCGUAACGACCACUGUGGCAGCGGGAAGGUCGGAAUUACGAGAUGUCACUGAAUCUCCGGUUUUACCUAGUGGGCUCGAUUUGGAUACAGUAUCGAGAACUAUUGAAGUAUUGAUUGAAAAAUUAAAAAGUAAGGAGGUUAAAUUAUGGGGUGGAAAUUCUUCAUGGGGAAAGGGUAACAGGGCUGGGAAGGAUAAUUAUUUUACAAAAAAAGGACUCCUAGGUUCGGAAUUAAAGUAUAAAAAAUAAGCUCAUAAUUGAAAAAACAAUUAAGUAUAAUUAUCAAUUCUGAUAUGACUAAUUAUUUCAAAUGGUUUUUAUGUUUUGUUUUUUUUUCGGGUGAUUCUCAUGUUUCCCCAUGAGGGAAGUGUGCACCCCCACUGGAAGAAGGGUGCGCACCCUAAACUUGACACUUAAAUAUUGGGCUCGUUUCCUAGUAGAAUUUAAAAUUAAAGGGUAUGACAAUGGACACCCCCCCCUUAGGGGUAUGGUUAUUCAUGCAGGGGGUGUUUACUGUCCAAAAAAUAAAAGGAAUAUAAACACAUUGUAAGGAUUCUAUUAUUAGAAGAUAAGGCCAACUGUUGCUAUAACUUUUAUAAAAGGUAUGUAUGACUACUUGUAAAGGAUUAAAAAAGAAUAAAAUUGUAAAAUUGGUAGCUUAUUAUUUCCGCAUGAAAUAAAUUACGUGAAAUGAA